UCUACCAUAAAUGCUGAAAAUCGAGGGAAACUCCCAUAUAACCAUCGCGGAGGUUCUAAAUCAUUCAUUCAAUAUAGUUACGAUGGUACCGAUCAGUUACAAAGAAAAGAUCGGAUUACUGUUUUUAAUGAAACUCAUUAUAGCUCGUCAAAAGGAUGGAUUGAUGAGACGGCCAAAACUGCAUAUGAUGAUAUGGUGAGACUACGUGAUGAGUGUAUUCAAACACAAAAUCCAGAAGAGG
Zingiber officinale is the source of this 241-nucleotide long non-coding RNA. RefSeq lists it as uncharacterized. Lineage: Eukaryota; Viridiplantae; Streptophyta; Magnoliopsida; Zingiberales; Zingiberaceae. The record is from RefSeq and is a predicted model, not a curated record. The transcript is spliced from 3 exons.